This 448-nucleotide ribosomal RNA is filed under the name uncultured bacterium. Its description in RNAcentral is "bacterial SSU rRNA". It matches the Rfam family "Bacterial small subunit ribosomal RNA", at positions 355 to 825 of the family's 1533-position model. The record is from RNAcentral.
UGGGGAAUCUUGGACAAUGGGCGAAAGCCUGAUCCAGCAAUGCCGCGUGAGUGAUGAAGGCCUUAGGGUUGUAAAGCUCUUUUUACCAGGGAUGAUAAUGACAGUACCUGGAGAAUAAGCUCCGGCUAACUCCGUGCCAGCAGCCGCGGUAAUACGGAGGGAGCUAGCGUUGUUCGGAAUUACUGGGCGUAAAGAGUACGUAGGCGGUGAUUCAAGUCAGAGGUGAAAGCCUGGAGCUCAACUCCAGAACUGCCUUUGAAACUAGAUCGCUAGAAUCAUGGAGAGGUUAGUGGAAUUCCGAGUGUAGAGGUGAAAUUCGUAGAUAUUCGGAAGAACACCAGUGGCGAAGGCGACUAACUGGACAUGUAUUGACGCUGAGGUACGAAAGCGUGGGGAGCAAACAGGAUUAGAUACCCUAGUAGUCCCUGAGCGGGCUGGCAAGGCGCAU